Molecule: ribosomal RNA, 373 nt
Filed under: uncultured organism
Description: bacterial SSU rRNA
Rfam family: Bacterial small subunit ribosomal RNA
Source: RNAcentral
CGGGGGGAGCAAGCGUUGUUCGGGUUUACUGGGCGUAAAGGGCGCGUAGGCGGCGCAACAAGUCACUUGUGAAAUCUCUGGGCUUAACCCGGAGCGGCCAAGUGAUACUGUCGUGCUAGAGUGCGGAAGGGGCUACUGGAAUUCUCGGUGUAGCGGUGAAAUGCGUAGAUAUCGAGAGGAACACCUGCGGCGAAGGCGGGUAGCUGGGCCGACACUGACGCUGAUGCGCGAAAGCCAGGGGAGCGAACGGGAUUAGAUACCCCGGUAGUCCUGGCCUUAAACGAUGGAUACUUGGUGUCCGGGGUUACAUAGUCCCCGGGUGCCGGCGCUAACGCAUUAAAUAUCCCGCCUGGGGAGUACGGUCGCAAGACUG